AGAGUUUGAUCCUGGCUCAGGACGAACGCUGGCGGCGUGCUUAACACAUGCAAGUCGAACGGGGUUUUUGGAAGCUUGCUUUUAAAAACCUAGUGGCAAACGGGUGAGUAACGCGUAGACAACCUACCGCAUAGUUGGGGACAACAGCUCGAAAGAGCUGCUAAUACCGAAUGUUGCAUUUUUCUCGCAUGAGAGAAAUGUUAAAGAUGGCCUCUACUUGUAAGCUAUCGCUGUGCGAUGGGUCUGCGUCUGAUUAGCUAGUUGGCGAGGUAAUGGCUCACCAAGGCGACGAUCAGUAGCCGAUCUGAGAGGAUGACCGGCCACAUUGGGACUGAGACACGGCCCAGACUCCUACGGGAGGCAGCAGUGGGGAAUUUUCCGCAAUGGACGAAAGUCUGACGGAGCAACGCCGCGUGAGUGAAGAAGGGUUUCGACUCGUAAAGCUCUUUUGUUUUAGACGAACGAUACGGAUGUGAAUAAUGUCCGUAAGCGACGGUAUAAAACGAAUAAGCCACGGCUAACUACGUGCCAGCAGCCGCGGUAAUACGUAGGUGGCGAGCGUUGUCCGGAAUUAUUGGGCGUAAAGGGAGCGUAGGCGGAUAUGUAAGUUCUUCUUAAAAGUGCGGGGCUUAACCCCGUGAUGGGGAGAAAACUAUAUAUCUUGAGUACCGGAGAGGAAAGCGGAAUUCCCAGUGUAGCGGUGAAAUGCGUAGAUAUUGGGAGGAACACCAGUGGCGAAGGCGGCUUUCUGGACGGCAACUGACGCUGAGGCUCGAAAGCUAGGGUAGCGAACGGGAUUAGAUACCCCGGUAGUCCUAGCCGUAAACGAUGGAUACUAGGUGUGGGGAGUAUCAACUCUUCCCGUGCCGGAGUUAACGCAAUAAGUAUCCCGCCUGGGGAGUACGGUCGCAAGACUGAAACUCAAAGGAAUUGACGG
RNAcentral lists this ribosomal RNA (937 nucleotides) under uncultured bacterium. RNAcentral describes it as "bacterial SSU rRNA". It matches the Rfam family "Bacterial small subunit ribosomal RNA", at positions 8 to 916 of the family's 1533-position model. The record is from RNAcentral.